AUUGAUGAUCUUUUUUGCUGUCUGGUCAGUUGCAACUUGGGUUGCUGCAACGCACUUGUUGCACAGCCAACAUCACUCAGUCUUACUCCACCCAACCUCUACCUGUACCUCUACCUCUGCUCCACCUAACCCCACAACAUCCGCGGCUGUCCGCUCAACCCAAAAGCAACUUGCGUUGUGUAAAGUUCAUGGGUCGCCGGG
RNAcentral lists this long non-coding RNA (201 nucleotides) under Drosophila guanche. Lineage: Eukaryota; Metazoa; Arthropoda; Insecta; Diptera; Drosophilidae. The record is from RNAcentral.